UCUGUGUUCUACCUCAGCAACUCAACCGUGUCUUGACCAAGGUUUGGACAAAAUGGCUGCCGUAGCUCCUACGAUCAGAUCCACAUUCAAGACAGGAAAAAAGCAGAACUUGGACAUUAAUAUAAACAGGUGUUACUGGGCAUAUCUUGUGUGCUAGAUACGACACGCAGCGUCUGCAUCACCAUAACAACUCUCUGUGGACCCCAGCCCCAUUUUACAGAGAGGAGAAACAAGGGUGGGCAUGUACCUACCCACGCUCACAGACUGAGCCCCUCACUGAUCACCCUCGGGUGCCUGGACUGAGCAUAUGUUCCUGUCAUACAGAUAAAGACCAUGCGGCAAGGGGCAGAUCCCGCAGCCCCAUUUUACAGAUAAAUCGAGGCACGGAGAUGCAUUCCUCAAAGCAAUAGCUGCAGAAUGUGAGCAGCUCAGGAUGUGAACCGAAGCUUUGUCAGCUCCUACCUGUGACGAUAUUUCUAGGGACUUGAAGGGUUCUGGAAAUUUGAGAAGACUUUGCCAUCAAACUCAACCUAUUCUUAGCUUCAAAAAAUAAAAUGUGAAUGAGCACAGGAGCUGGGACCCUAAAUUGCCAUCAUAUAUUGGGAAUUUCCUGUUUCUCAGAACAGAGAAUUACACUCCUGCUCCAAUUCAUGCUCCUUACAACCCUCGUAGGAGGGGGGACUUCACCCCACUUCACUGGUGAGGAACACGAGCGUCAGAGAGAGUGAGCCAGCCCACACAUGGUGUGACAAGGAGCCAAGACCGGGCUAGUUUGCUUUUUCAGAGGGGCCUCCGGGGAGCCUUGAGAUACCCCUUCAAACCAUUCCUCUCGCCUGGAGAAAGCUAGAGGGAGCUGGUCUUUCCAUGAUAGCAGGCAAAGAACUUAAUAAAA
Talpa occidentalis (Iberian mole) is the source of this 892-nucleotide long non-coding RNA. RefSeq lists it as uncharacterized. The record is from RefSeq and is a predicted model, not a curated record. The transcript has 3 exons. Lineage: Eukaryota; Metazoa; Chordata; Mammalia; Eulipotyphla; Talpidae.